Molecule: ribosomal RNA, 274 nt
Filed under: uncultured bacterium
Lineage: Bacteria
Description: partial 16S ribosomal RNA
Rfam family: Bacterial small subunit ribosomal RNA
Source: RNAcentral
AUACGGAGGGUGCAAGCGUUAAUCGGAAUUACUGGGCGUAAAGCGCGCGUAGGUGGUUUAGUAAGUCGGAUGUGAAAGCCCUGGGCUCAACCUGGGAAUUGCAUUCGAUACUGCUUGACUAGAGUAUGGUAGAGGGAAGUGGAAUUUCCGGUGUAGCGGUGAAAUGCGUAGAUAUCUGAAGGAACACCAGUGGCGAAGGCGACUUCCUGGGCCAAUACUGACGCUGAGGUGCGAAAGCGUGGGGAGCAAACAGGAUUAGAAACCCCUGUAGUCC